This 34-nucleotide transfer RNA is filed under the name Leptochilus pedunculatus. RNAcentral describes it as "partial tRNA-Leu". RNAcentral also lists the same sequence under 2 other names. Lineage: Eukaryota; Viridiplantae; Streptophyta; Polypodiopsida; Polypodiales; Polypodiaceae. The record is from RNAcentral.
AAAAUCCGUUGGUUUCGCGGGACCGUGAGGGUUC